This 636-nucleotide ribosomal RNA is filed under the name Conoderus sp. NLG. RNAcentral describes it as "eukaryotic LSU rRNA". It matches the Rfam family "Eukaryotic large subunit ribosomal RNA", at positions 670 to 1259 of the family's 3401-position model. The record is from RNAcentral. Lineage: Eukaryota; Metazoa; Arthropoda; Insecta; Coleoptera; Elateridae.
GGAGUCUAGCAUGUGCGCGAGUCAUUGGGACACGUUGCUAAACCUAAAGGCGUAAUGAAAGUGAAGGCGCGCCUUGCGCGCGCCGAGGGAGGAUGGGCGAGGCGUUCGCGCGCCGUCGCCCCGCACUCCCGGGGCGUCUCGUUCUCAUCGCGAGAAGAGGCGCACCCAGAGCGUACACGCUGGGACCCGAAAGAUGGUGAACUAUGCCUGGUCAGGACGAAGUCAGGGGAAACCCUGAUGGAGGUCCGUAGCGAUUCUGACGUGCAAAUCGAUCGUCGGAACUGGGUAUAGGGGCGAAAGACUAAUCGAACCAUCUAGUAGCUGGUUCCCUCCGAAGUUUCCCUCAGGAUAGCUGGCGCUCGCUUUUGCGAGUCUCAUCCGGUAAAGCGAAUGAUUAGAGGCAUUGGGGUCGAAACGGCCUCAACCUAUUCUCAAACUUUAAAUGGGUGAGAUCUCCGGCUUGCUUAAAGCAGUGAAGCCGCGAGAUCGGAUCAGAGUGCCAAGUGGGCCACUUUUGGUAAGCAGAACUGGCGCUGUGGGAUGAACCAAACGCGGAGUUAAAGCGCCUAAAUCGACGCUUAUGGGAUACCAUGAAAGGCGUUGGUAACUUAAGACAGCAGGACGGUGGCCAUGGAA